Molecule: ribosomal RNA, 455 nt
Filed under: uncultured Fusarium
Lineage: Eukaryota; Fungi; Ascomycota; Sordariomycetes; Hypocreales; Nectriaceae
Description: eukaryotic LSU rRNA
Rfam family: 5.8S ribosomal RNA (bases 84-237)
Source: RNAcentral
CCGCUCCCGGUAAUGGGUACCCCCAGAGGACCCUAAACUCUGUUUCUAUAUGAAAAAACAGAGUAAAACCAUAAAUAAAUCAAAACUUUCAACAACGGAUCUCUUGGUUCUGGCAUCGAUGAAGAACGCAGCAAAAUGCGAUAAGUAAUGUGAAUUGCAGAAUUCAGUGAAUCAUCGAAUCUUUGAACGCACAUUGCGCCCGCCAGUAUUCUGGCGGGCAUGCCUGUUCGAGCGUCAUUUCAACCCUCAAGCACAGCUUGGUGUUGGGACUCGCGUUAAUUCGCGUUCCUCAAAUUGAUUGGCGGUCACGUCGAGCUUCCAUAGCGUAGUAGUAAAACCCUCGUUACUGGUAAUCGUCGCGGCCACGCCGUUAAACCCCAACUUCUGAAUGUUGACCUCGGAUCAGGUAGGAAUACCCCGCUGAACUUAAGCAUAUCAAUAAGCGGAAAAAUUUU